Non-coding RNA from Megalops atlanticus (tarpon), 73 nucleotides. NCBI's taxonomy places the organism in Eukaryota, Metazoa, Chordata, Actinopteri, Elopiformes, Megalopidae. The record is from the annotation of a GenBank genome assembly.
UGCAGUGUGGCGUAGUGGUAAGGCACAGGCCUUAUGACCAAAAGGUUGCUGGUUCAACUCCCUGCUAGGGCAG